Molecule: ribosomal RNA, 465 nt
Filed under: uncultured bacterium
Lineage: Bacteria
Description: bacterial SSU rRNA
Rfam family: Bacterial small subunit ribosomal RNA
Source: RNAcentral
CCUACGGGGUGCAGCAGUGGGGAAUAUUGCACAAUGGGCGCAAGCCUGAUGCAACCAUGCCGCGUGUAUGAAGAAGGCCUUCGGGUUGUAAAGUACUUUCAGCCAGGAGGAAGGCGUUAAGGUUAAUAACCUUGGCGAUUGACGUUACUCGCAGAAGAAGCACCGGCUAACUCCGUGCCAGCAGCCGCGGUAAUACGGAGGGUGCAAGCGUUAAUCGGAAUUACUGGGCGUAAAGCGCACGCAGGCGGUCUGUCAAGUCGGAUGUGAAAUCCCGGGGCUCAACCUGGGAACUGCGUUCGAAACUGGCAGGCUAGAGUCUUGUAGAGGGGGGUAGGAUUCCAGGUGUAGCGGUGAAAUGCGUAGAGAUCUGGAGGAAUACCGGUGGCGAAGGCGGCCCCCUGGACAAAGACUGGCGCCCAGGUGCGAAAGCGUGGGGAGCAAACAGGAUUAGAUACCCUUGUAGUC